RNAcentral lists this ribosomal RNA (497 nucleotides) under uncultured bacterium. RNAcentral describes it as "partial 16S ribosomal RNA". It matches the Rfam family "Bacterial small subunit ribosomal RNA", at positions 28 to 507 of the family's 1533-position model. The record is from RNAcentral.
GAUGAACGCUGGCGGCGUGCUUAAUACAUGCAAGUCGAGCGAACAGACGAGGAGCUUGCUCCUUUGACGUGAGCCGCGGGGGGGAGUGUAACGCGUGGAUACCCUACCUGUAUUACGGGGAUCACUUCGGAACACCGGAGCUAAUACCGUAUAAUAUAUUGAAGCGCAGGGUGCAAUAGUGAAAGACGGUUUUGCUGUCACUUAUCGAUGGAUCUGCGCCGCAUUAGCUAGUUGUUACGGUAACGGGCUACCAAGGCUACGAUGCGUAGCCGACCUGAGGGGCGGAUCGGCCACAUUGGAACUGAGACACGGUCCAGACGACUACGGGAGGCAGCAGUAGGGAAUCGUACGCAAUGGGCGAAAGCCUGACGGAGCAACGCCGCGUGAGUGAUGAAGGUCUUCGGAUCGUAAAACUCUGUUACUAGGGAAGAACCGCUGUGGCAGUAAACAUGCCGGUCUUGACGGUACCUAAUCAGAAAGCAACGGCUAACUACGUG